CCUACGGGAGGCAGCAGUGGGGAAUAUUGGACAAUGGGGGCAACCCUGAUCCAGCCAUGCCGCGUGUGUGAAGAAGGCCCUCGGGUUGUAAAGCACUUUCAGUGAGGAAGAACGCCUGGUGGUUAAUACCCAUCAGGAAAGACAUCACUCACAGAAGAAGCACCGGCUAACUCCGUGCCAGCAGCCGCGGUAAUACGGAGGGUGCGAGCGUUAAUCGGAAUUACUGGGCGUAAAGCGCGCGUAGGUGGCUUGAUAAGCCGGUUGUGAAAGCCCCGGGCUCAACCUGGGAACGGCAUCCGGAACUGUCAAGCUAGAGUGCAGGAGAGGGAGGUAGAAUUCCCGGUGUAGCGGUGAAAUGCGUAGAGAUCGGGAGGAAUACCAGUGGCGAAGGCGGCCUUCUGGACUGACACUGACACUGAGGUGCGAAAGCGUGGGUAGCAAACAGGAUUAGAUACCCUAGUAGUC
Molecule: ribosomal RNA, 465 nt
Filed under: Vreelandella stevensii
Lineage: Bacteria; Pseudomonadati; Pseudomonadota; Gammaproteobacteria; Oceanospirillales; Halomonadaceae
Description: partial 16S ribosomal RNA
Rfam family: Bacterial small subunit ribosomal RNA
Source: RNAcentral